Molecule: ribosomal RNA, 525 nt
Filed under: Arthrobacter sp. bw2
Lineage: Bacteria; Bacillati; Actinomycetota; Actinomycetes; Micrococcales; Micrococcaceae
Description: bacterial SSU rRNA
Rfam family: Bacterial small subunit ribosomal RNA
Source: RNAcentral
UUAACUCUGGGAUAAGCCUGGGAAACUGGGUCUAAUACCGGAUAUGACUCCUCAUCGCAUGGUGGGGGGUGGAAAGCUUUAUUGUGGUUUUGGAUGGACUCGCGGCCUAUCAGCUUGUUGGUGAGGUAAUGGCUCACCAAGGCGACGACGGGUAGCCGGCCUGAGAGGGUGACCGGCCACACUGGGACUGAGACACGGCCCAGACUCCUACGGGAGGCAGCAGUGGGGAAUAUUGCACAAUGGGCGAAAGCCUGAUGCAGCGACGCCGCGUGAGGGAUGACGGCCUUCGGGUUGUAAACCUCUUUCAGUAGGGAAGAAGCGAAAGUGACGGUACCUGCAGAAGAAGCGCCGGCUAACUACGUGCCAGCAGCCGCGGUAAUACGUAGGGCGCAAGCGUUAUCCGGAAUUAUUGGGCGUAAAGAGCUCGUAGGCGGUUUGUCGCGUCUGCCGUGAAAGUCCGGGGCUCAACUCCGGAUCUGCGGUGGGUACGGGCAGACUAGAGUGAUGUAGGGGAGACUGGAAUUC